CCUACGGGGGGCAGCAGUGAGGAAUAUUGGUCAAUGGACGAGAGUCUGAACCAGCCAAGUAGCGUGAAGGAUGACUGCCCUAUGGGUUGUAAACUUCUUUUAUAUGGGAAUAAAACGUUCCACGUGUGGGAUUUUGUAUGUACCAUAUGAAUAAGGAUCGGCUAACUCCGUACCAGCAGCCGCGGUAAUACGGAGGAUCCGAGCGUUAUCCGGAUUUAUUGGGUUUAAAGGGAGCGUAGGUGGAUUGUUAAGUCAGUUGUGAAAGUUUGCGGCUCAACCGUAAAAUUGCAGUUGAAACUGGCAGUCUUGAGUACAGUAGAGGUGGGCGGAAUUCGUGGUGUAGCGGUGAAAUGCGUAGAUAUCACGAAGAACUCCGAUUGCGAAGGCAGUUCACUGGACUGCAACUGACACUGAGGCUCGAAAGUGUGGGUAUCAAACAGGAUUAGAUACCCCUGUAGUC
This 460-nucleotide ribosomal RNA is filed under the name uncultured bacterium. RNAcentral's name for it is "partial 16S ribosomal RNA". It matches the Rfam family "Bacterial small subunit ribosomal RNA", at positions 338 to 795 of the family's 1533-position model. The record is from RNAcentral.